Molecule: long non-coding RNA, 892 nt
Filed under: Gallus gallus (chicken)
Lineage: Eukaryota; Metazoa; Chordata; Aves; Galliformes; Phasianidae
Source: RNAcentral
UGAUAUUCCUAAAAUAGACUCUGGAUCUGACCUGAAAGUUAACUGGAAAUUGCAGAUGUAUGUAUUCAGAUGUAUUAUAGAUGUUUAUGACUGAAGACCAAAACAACUGCAAACUUGAUGUUCUAAUUUGUCUCUGUUUAUUUUCUAAACUCAGAAUCUAAUUCCUAAUGCUGAUUUCAGCCUGUGUAUUGCUAGUACUCUCCGCCACUCAGCUCCCUAUGCUGAAGAAAGCUGAAAGCAGAUCUGCUGACCAAAGAAUGUAGCAGUAGGAAACAGUAUUUGAAAACUACAACUCAGACAACACCAAGAGGAAAAGAAGGCAGAGCUGAAAACAGACAAACAAAAAAUAAGUACACAAGGUGGCUUGUGUGGUUGUAUAAUGACUUCUACAAGUCAGCAACACCAAAACAUGUAUUUGCACUCUUUUUUCUCCUUGUUACAUACAUCAGCAUUAUCUGGGUUGGCACUUGUUAGUACUAACGCCUAAUAAAUGUUGAAGAGAAAUGGUAUUGAAUGCAUGUAUUCAUAAAUCCAUGUGCUGACAUAGUUUGCAAGUCUGUAGUGUUAUUAAAAUAUAUUUUAAUCAAUGUUUAGAAAGUAGAUAUUUUUUCCCAUAAUACAAGGUAUGGAAGAUCCAUCUUCAUUUGUGUCUUGUCUAGUCUAGUUUAGAUAUUUUACCUCUCUUUCCUUCAUUAGCCAAUGUGAAUAUGACAGAAGGUAAUUAUUUCAGUGAGCUAAUUUUGACUAAAUCCUGUGAUGCAGAACCACAUGUGAACCUGCUUGUGCCUCUUUGUUACACAGGCCUGCAGGAGAACAAGGAAAAAAAUAGCAUAUAUGUCAUGGAUUAUAUUUUGCUUCAGGCACUUUCUGACCUACUGUAUUAUGAUUUGGC